This 595-nucleotide ribosomal RNA is filed under the name uncultured bacterium. RNAcentral describes it as "bacterial SSU rRNA". It matches the Rfam family "Bacterial small subunit ribosomal RNA", at positions 79 to 669 of the family's 1533-position model. The record is from RNAcentral.
CUUGCUUCUCUUGAGAGCGGCGGACGGGUGAGUAAUGCCUAGGAAUCUGCCUGGUAGUGGGGGAUAACGUCCGGAAACGGACGCUAAUACCGCAUACGUCCUACGGGAGAAAGCAGGGGACCUUCGGGCCUUGCGCUAUCAGAUGAGCCUAGGUCGGAUUAGCUAGUUGGUGGGGUAAUGGCUCACCAAGGCGACGAUCCGUAACUGGUCUGAGAGGAUGAUCAGUCACCCUGGAACUGAGACACGGUCCAGACUCCUACGGGAGGCAGCAGUGGGGAAUAUUGGACAAUGGGCGAAAGCCUGAUCCAGCCAUGCCGCGUGUGUGAAGAAGGUCUUCGGAUUGUAAAGCACUUUAAGUUGGGAGGAAGGGCAGUAAAUUAAUACUUUGCUGUUUUGACGUUACCGACAGAAUAAGCACCGGCUAACUCUGUGCCAGCAGCCGCGGUAAUACAGAGGGUGCAAGCGUUAAUCGGAAUUACUGGGCGUAAAGCGCGCGUAGGUGGUUCGUUAAGUUGGAUGUGAAAUCCCCGGGUGUCAACCUGGGAACUGCAUUCAAAACUGACGAGCUAGAGUAUGGUAGAGGGUGGUGGAAUUU